CCUACGGGAUGCAGCAGUGAGGAAUAUUGGUCAAUGGUCGCGAGCCUGAACCAGCCAAGUCGCGUGAAGGAUGACUGCCCUACGGGUUGUAAACUUCUUUUCUAAAGGAAUAAAGUGUGGCACGUGUGCCUUUUUGUAUGUACUUUAUGAAUAAGGAUCGGCUAACUCCGUGCCAGCAGCCGCGGUAAUACGUAGGAUCCGAUCGUUAUCCGGAUUUAUUGGGUUUAAAGGGAGCGUAGAUGGGUUGUUAAGUCAGUGGUUAAAGGUUGCGGCUCAACCGUAAAAUUGCAAUUGAUACUGGCAGUCUUGAGUACAGAUGAGGUAGGCGGAAUUCGUGGUGUAGCGGUGAAAUGCUUAGAUAUCACGAAGAACUCCGAGUGCGAAGGCAGCUUACGAAACUGACACUGACAUUGAGGCUCGAAAGUGUGGGUAUCGAACAGGAUUAGAUACCCGGGUAGUC
This 460-nucleotide ribosomal RNA is filed under the name uncultured bacterium. RNAcentral's name for it is "partial 16S ribosomal RNA". It matches the Rfam family "Bacterial small subunit ribosomal RNA", at positions 338 to 795 of the family's 1533-position model. The record is from RNAcentral.